CCUCCUUUCUACGGAGUACAGCUAUUUAUUAGUACUAUACUUAUAUGACAGACCUCCAAUAAUAAUUUUUCUCCUGGCCUGGGUAGGGUCCCAAUUGAAAACCUAGUUUUGGGGGGCCAAUCCUCCCAAUUGUUCUUUGAAAACUGAAAAGUAAAAAUUUUAAAAUUUACAACGACAUCAAAAAAUAGAUUAAUUUGGGUUAAUCGUUUUGAUUCAUCGAGUAAUCAUAUUAAUUAUAUGAUUCAUUGAAAUGUCUUAAAAUACACAUCAUAACAAUAGGAAAUCUUAAUUUAAUAAAUUACGGACAUACUU
RNAcentral lists this unclassified non-coding RNA (312 nucleotides) under Mycoplasmopsis bovigenitalium. Its description in RNAcentral is "Mycoplasma bovigenitalium partial miscellaneous RNA". The record is from RNAcentral. Lineage: Bacteria; Bacillati; Mycoplasmatota; Mycoplasmoidales; Metamycoplasmataceae.